AAUAUCCGUCAUUGGUUAGGAUGAACAUAUCAAGGAUAAACUCAAAGCAGGGGAAGAAAAUAUUCGUCAUCAGUUAUGAUGAACAUAUCAAGGAUAUACUUCCUGGGAAAUGUGAAAAUGAAUCCGCUGGGGAAACAAAGGUCGUUCUUGCCGGGUAUUGGGCAGAAAUAACAAACAUGAGAAGAAUAUUACCAGUUAUUGGGUAAUUGGCUCUCAGAGGGCCAAAAGGUUCUAUCUAGGUAAGAUUUCG
RNAcentral lists this long non-coding RNA (250 nucleotides) under Lathyrus oleraceus (garden pea). RNAcentral's name for it is "Pisum sativum (pea) long non-coding RNA (PSAT_LNC009960)". The record is from RNAcentral. Lineage: Eukaryota; Viridiplantae; Streptophyta; Magnoliopsida; Fabales; Fabaceae.